CAAUAAAGGAAGCACGGUAAUAUGCACAUAAAUUGAAUUGGGUCCCUAGGCCAGCCGUCUUUGAUGCCAUUCGGCUUUGAUUUGAGGGCAUGGUUCCACAGCAAAACA
This is a small nucleolar RNA of Rhododendron vialii, 108 nucleotides long. RefSeq annotates it as small nucleolar RNA snoR100. The record is from RefSeq and is a predicted model, not a curated record. The transcript has a single exon. Lineage: Eukaryota; Viridiplantae; Streptophyta; Magnoliopsida; Ericales; Ericaceae.